UAUAAUCAGUCAAUCAAUUUGUUCAACCAACACCUAAGUAAAUAAUUGCUGAGUAACUUCAGGUUGAUAUAGAAAACCUUCAUUCUAAUUCAGGACUACGACAUAACAUAACAAGAUAUCCACCUAAUAUGAAGGAAAGUUCCAUCUUUUAAUUGGACCUUCUAAGUUGAAUUUCUGCAUCCGUCCCUCACCCACCCUUCCUUUUUGAGCAUUUUUAACGGCCUCUAUGAUGGCUAGGAAUUU
This 243-nucleotide unclassified non-coding RNA is filed under the name Hevea brasiliensis (rubber tree). Lineage: Eukaryota; Viridiplantae; Streptophyta; Magnoliopsida; Malpighiales; Euphorbiaceae. The record is from RNAcentral.